UACGAAGGGGGCUAGCGUUGCUCGGAAUCACUGGGCGUAAAGGGCGCGUAGGCGGAUCUUUAAGUCGGGGGUGAAAUCCUGGAGCUCAACUCCAGAACUGCCUUUGAUACUGGUGAUCUUGAGUCCGGGAGAGGUGAGUGGAACUGCGAGUGUAGAGGUGAAAUUCGUAGAUAUUCGCAAGAACACCAGUGGCGAAGGCGGCUCACUGGCCCGGUACUGACGCUGAGGUGCGAAAGCGUGGGGAGCAAACAGG
RNAcentral lists this ribosomal RNA (253 nucleotides) under uncultured bacterium. RNAcentral describes it as "partial 16S ribosomal RNA". It matches the Rfam family "Bacterial small subunit ribosomal RNA", at positions 524 to 776 of the family's 1533-position model. The record is from RNAcentral.